This 287-nucleotide small nuclear RNA is filed under the name Jaculus jaculus (lesser Egyptian jerboa). RNAcentral describes it as "7SK RNA (ENSJJAG00000004528.1)". It matches the Rfam family "7SK RNA". Rfam says of the family: 7SK was discovered as an abundant small nuclear RNA in the mid-70s but a possible function has only recently been suggested. Two independent studies have found that 7SK RNA binds the CDK9/cyclin T complex (known as elongation factor P-TEFb). P-TEFb activates transcription by phosphorylating the C-terminal domain of RNA polymerase II. Lineage: Eukaryota; Metazoa; Chordata; Mammalia; Rodentia; Dipodidae. The record is from Rfam by way of RNAcentral.
GGAUGCAAAGGCGAUCUGGCUGCAGUAUCUGUCACCCCAUUGAUCACCAGGGUUGAUUUGGCUGGCUAGGCAUGUGUCCCCUUUCUCCCUCACCACUCCACGUGCAUCCCUCCCAAAGCUGCUCACCCUGUCAAAGAGGACAACUUUCCCCGAAUAGAGGAGGAUCAGACUUGGGUGUACAAGUAGCUGUACUCCCCUGCCAGAACCUCCAAACAAGCUCUCAAAUAAAUAAAGUCUAUGUAAAAUUAAAUCUAUAUGUAAAGUUUGUGUUGUUCUUUUUGUUUUUU